GAUCCUGGCUCAGGAUGAACGCUGGCGGCGUGCCUAAUACAUGCAAGUGAAACGGGUAUCUUCGGAUACCAGUCGCGGACGGGUGAGUAAUACAUAGGCAACCUGCCUUUAUGAGGGGGAUAACCGAGGGAAACUUUGGCUAAUACCGCAUGAAGACUCUAAGGCAUCUUAGAGGGAUAAAAGUUGGGAAACAACGCAUGAAGAUGGGCUUAUGGCGCAUUAGCUAGUUGGUGAGAUAGAAGCCCACCAAGGUAAUGAUGCGUAGCCGACCUGAGAGGGUGAACGGCCACAUUGGGACUGAGACACGGCCCAAACUCCUACGGGAGGCAGCAGUAGGGAAUUUUCGGCAAUGGGGGGAACCCUGACCGAGCAACGCCCGCGUGAAGGAAGAAGGUUUUCGGAUUGUAAACUUCUGUUAUAAGGGAAGAACGGAUUGGAUAGGGAAUGAUCUGAUAGUGACGGUACCUUAUUAGAAAGCCACGGCUAACUACGUGCCAGCCGCCGC
RNAcentral lists this ribosomal RNA (505 nucleotides) under uncultured bacterium. RNAcentral describes it as "bacterial SSU rRNA". It matches the Rfam family "Bacterial small subunit ribosomal RNA", at positions 15 to 518 of the family's 1533-position model. The record is from RNAcentral.